RNAcentral lists this ribosomal RNA (253 nucleotides) under uncultured bacterium. Its description in RNAcentral is "partial 16S ribosomal RNA". It matches the Rfam family "Bacterial small subunit ribosomal RNA", at positions 524 to 776 of the family's 1533-position model. The record is from RNAcentral.
UACGAGGGGGGCAAGUGUUGUUCGGAAUCACUGGGCGUAAAGGGAGCGUAGGCGGGCUCUUAAGUUGGAUGUUUAAAACCGGGGCCCAACCCCGGCGUGGCAUCCAAAACUGGGAGUCUUGAAUGGAACAGAGGCUAGUGGAAUUGGAGGUGUAGCGGUGGAAUGCGUAGAGAUCUCCAAGAACACCCGUUGCGAAGGCGGCUAGCUGGGUUCACAUUGACGCUGAGGCUCGAAAGCGUGGGGAGCAAACAGG